RNAcentral lists this ribosomal RNA (464 nucleotides) under uncultured bacterium. Its description in RNAcentral is "bacterial SSU rRNA". It matches the Rfam family "Bacterial small subunit ribosomal RNA", at positions 28 to 507 of the family's 1533-position model. The record is from RNAcentral.
GGUUAACGCUGGCGGCGUGCCUAACACAUGCAAGUCGAACGGUUCUAAGCGCGGGCUUAGGAUAGUGGCGAACGGGUGAGUAAAAGGUAGGAAUCUACCCCUUGGACGGAGAUAGCUACUGGAAACGGUAGGUAAACUUCGAUAAGCCCGAGAGGGGAAAGUGGUGAGACAGCCGAGGGAUGAGCCUACUCUCCAUCAGCUAGUUGGUGAGGUAACGGCUCACCAAGGCGACGACGGGUAGCCGGCCUGAGAGGGUGACCGGCCACACUGGGACUGAGACACGGCCCAGACUCCUACGGGAGGCAGCAGUGGGGAAUAUUGCACAAUGGGCGCAAGCCUGAUGCAGCAACGCCGCGUGGAGGAAGAAGUCCUUCGGGAUGUAAACUUCUGAACUAGCCGAAUAAAAGGCCUGUGGACACACAGGAGAAGAAAGUAGGCUAGGAAAAGUCCCGGCUAACUACGUG